RNAcentral lists this long non-coding RNA (2264 nucleotides) under Brassica napus (rape). RNAcentral describes it as "long non-coding RNA (BNAP_LNC027044)". The record is from RNAcentral. Lineage: Eukaryota; Viridiplantae; Streptophyta; Magnoliopsida; Brassicales; Brassicaceae.
GAGAUUGUGGUUCUUCUGUAACGAUAUUGAUUGGUUUGUUCAGUUCGAUAUCGUAUGUAGAUUGAUUGGUUUGUUGUGUUGGAUUAAUUGUGAUAUGCUUGGUGGUAGUUUAUUAAUUUAGAUUUUGUUUCAGUCUGUUGAUAAAAACUUUUGUUUCUGUGUUUGCCGUUGUGAGAUGGAGAGGAUCAAAGACGUUUUUUGUUGCUUGGAAAGAGACACGGGGAAGGUUCAUCGAUCAAAGGACUUCAAUUUCAAAGCAAGGUUAGUGUACGUUUAUGGUUGAAUAGAGUUGCAUAGAGUUUAAUAGAGUAGAAUUGAGUUAGCGUCUGUGAUGAAUUAAAUCUUGGCAAUUAAUGAGAUGGUCAGUGUACGUUUAUGGUUGCGGUUGAUUAUGAAUUGCUUCUGUUUGUUGUGUGAUUAAUGGUUAGCUAGGAAACUAUGUUCUGUUAGGUGUGAUUUAAGAAUUGUGGUUGUGAAGCUGGUUUAAGUGUUUAAGUGUGUUAAAUGAAUUAGAUAUAUGUCUACUCAAAUUGGUUGUGGGUGUGAUCAAUGCCUCUUAUCUCAGCGUUCUCAAAUGUUCCUUUCUUUCUCUUUUCUUUAAAUUCCUUCGUUUCUUCUCUUACUUUUGAACCUCAUAAACUCGCCUCUCUUCUCUUCUUGCUUUGUAAUCAUAACUUCCAUCUCUAUUCUCAUCAACAUUCAGAUAUGGAUUCCAAUCCAUAUCUAUCUACCAAUUUUGUUGAUCUUCUUCAAAGUCAACAAGAAUCUUCCAUUGGUUUAGAAUCUUCAUCUAUUCCUCUCUUUGGGACGCAAGCUUCAGAAGGUUCAAACUUCGAAGAAGAAAGUCCUGCAGCGCGUACAACAAGAAAGAUGUGGACACCAACAGACGAUGUCGUUCUCAUAAGCUCGUGGCUAAACACGAGUAAAGACCCCGUGGUCGGGAAUGAGCAACGCUCUGACUCCUUCUGGAAACGCAUAGCAGCGUACUUCUCGGCGAGUCCCAAGCUGGCUGGGUGUGAGAAAAGAGGGUCCACGCAAUGCAAGCAGCGUUGGCACAAACUAAACGAUUUAGUGUGUAAGUUAUGUGGUGCUUACGAGGCUGCAGUCAGAGAGAAGAGUAGUGGGCAAAACGAGAAUGAUGUUCUCAAAGUUGCCCAUGAAAUUUUUUACAACUCGUAUAAGAAGAAGUUCACGCUUGAACACGCGUGGAAAGAGCUCCGCAAUGACCAGAAGUGGUGUGAGCUCUCCACGGUUAAAAAUGACGGAAGCUCCAAAAAAAGAAAAGGUGAAGAUGGUUUUGAUUCAGCAUGCUCUCAAGCUGAUGAUGUUGAAGGAACCAUCCGUCCCCUAGGUGUCAAGGCAGCAAAAGCGCGAGGUAAGACGCCGAUGGGUGAUGUGAAGGCGCUCUCUGCCUUGCAAACAAUGUGGAGCAUCAAGGAAAAGGAUUUGGCAAUGAAGGAAAAGGUCUCGACAAUGAACGAAAAGGUCUCCAAGAUGAAGCUACUUGAGAGUCUUGUUUCAAAACAAGUGCCUCUAGCUGAUUAUGUGGAAGCUUUGAAGAGGAAGCUCGUAAAUGAGUUGAUGUGAUUUUAGUUUAAGUGGUCUCGGUCUUAGUCUCAGUUUAAGCUUUAAGUGUCUGUCUCGGUCUUAGUUUGGGUUUAACCUCUAAGUGUUUUUCUUGGUUAAUGUUUCUCGGGUUGUUGGAUUUUCAUGUUGUUAAAAUGCUUUCAUGUUUCUCGGCUUAAUGAAUUUUCAUGUUUUCAUGUUAAUGCUUUCAUGAGUGUUCUUGGUAACGUUUUCUUGUGUUCUAACUUGAUACAUGUUCUAUGUCAUUGUCUCAGGUAAGGUCACGGGUGAAGAAGACAAUAAGCUAAUGGGACUAAUCAUUACCAUCAAAGCCACGUACCAUGUUGGUUUAAAACGAACAAAAUACGUGGCAUUGGUAGUAAUGAGUGUUCCCGCUACCGUAUUCAGUUGAAGAUUCACGGGUGUUUGGUCAGGUCACGGGUCUUUCAUGUCACGGAGUAGCUAGACUGAGAUGUACUCGGUUGUGUCAGGUCAUGGGUGUUGGCGUUUUGUAACGGGUGAUCACGGGUGUUGUAAAUUCGCGGGUCUUGUAUGUAUUAUGCAUGUGGGUUGAUCACGUGUGUUGUAAAUUCACACGUCUUGAAUGUAUUAUGCAUGUGUGUUGUACAUAGUUUUGUAUUAUAUGAUCACGGGUCUUGUAUUGAUCACUUCUUGUAUUAUAAAGCCACCAAACUCAU